UACGUAGGGGGCAAGCGUUGUCCGGAUUUAUUGGGCGUAAAGAGCGUGUAGGCGGCCGUACAGGUCAGCUGUGAAAACUCGAGGCUCAACCUCGAGACGUCGGUUGAAACCGUACGGCUAGAGUCCGGAAGAGGAGAGUGGAAUUCCCGGUGUAGCGGUGAAAUGCGCAGAUAUCGGGAAGAACACCAGUGGCGAAGGCGGCUUCCGGGCCUGUAACUGACGCUGAGACGCGAAAGCGUGGGGAGCGAACCGG
Molecule: ribosomal RNA, 253 nt
Filed under: uncultured bacterium
Lineage: Bacteria
Description: partial 16S ribosomal RNA
Rfam family: Bacterial small subunit ribosomal RNA
Source: RNAcentral